AUUGAACGCUGGCGGCAGGCCUAACACAUGCAAGUCGAGCGGUAGCACAGAGAGCUUGCUCUCGGGUGACGAGCGGCGGACGGGUGAGUAAUGUCUGGGAAACUGCCUGAUGGAGGGGGAUAACUACUGGAAACGGUAGCUAAUACCGCAUAACGUCGCAAGACCAAAGUGGGGGACCUUCGGGCCUCAUGCCAUCAGAUGUGCCCAGAUGGGACUAGCUGGUAGGUGGGGUAACGGCUCACCUAGGCGACGAUCCCUAGCUGGUCUGAGAGGAUGACCAGCCACACUGGAACUGAGACACGGUCCAGACUCCUACGGGAGGCAGCAGUGGGGAAUAUUGCACAAUGGGCGCAAGCCUGAUGCAGCCAUGCCGCGUGUGUGAAGAAGGCCUUCGGGUUGUAAAGCACUUUCAGCGGGGAGGAAGGCAUUAAGGUUAAUAACCUUAGUGAUUGACGUUACCCGCAGAAGAAGCACCGGUUAACUCCGUGCCAGCAGCCGCAGUAA
RNAcentral lists this ribosomal RNA (504 nucleotides) under uncultured bacterium. Its description in RNAcentral is "partial 16S ribosomal RNA". It matches the Rfam family "Bacterial small subunit ribosomal RNA", at positions 30 to 523 of the family's 1533-position model. The record is from RNAcentral.